RNAcentral lists this ribosomal RNA (503 nucleotides) under uncultured bacterium. Its description in RNAcentral is "partial 16S ribosomal RNA". It matches the Rfam family "Bacterial small subunit ribosomal RNA", at positions 30 to 523 of the family's 1533-position model. The record is from RNAcentral.
AUUGAACGCUGGCGGCAGGCUUAACACAUGCAAGUCGAGCGGGGUGAUGGUGCUUGCACUAUCACUUAGCGGCGGACGGGUGAGUGAUGCUUAGGAAUCUGCCUAUUAGUGGGGGACAACAUCUCGAAAGGGAUGCUAAUACCGCAUACGUCCUACGGGAGAAAUCAGGGGAUCACUUGUGACCUUGCGCUUAUAGAUGAGCCUAAGUCGGAUUAGCUAGUUGGUGGGGUAAAGGCCUACCAAGGCGACGAUCUGUAGCGGGUCUGAGAGGAUGAUCCGCCACACUGGGACUGAGGCACGGCCCAGACCCCUACGGGAGGCAGCAGUGGGGAAUAUUGGACAAUGGGGGGAACCCUGAUCCAGCCAUGCCGCGUGUGUGAAGAAGGCCUUAUGGUUGUAAAGCACUUUAAGCGAGGAGGAGGCUCUUUUGGUUAAUACCCAAGAUGAGUGGACGUUACUCGCAGAAUAAGCACCGGCUAACUCUGUGCCAGCAGCCGCCGUAA